Molecule: long non-coding RNA, 3768 nt
Organism: Neopelma chrysocephalum (saffron-crested tyrant-manakin)
Lineage: Eukaryota; Metazoa; Chordata; Aves; Passeriformes; Pipridae
Exons: 3
Source: RefSeq, a predicted model, not a curated record
GGGACAGACUACAGCUGAAGUGAUGGAGACGACGGACGCGCUGUGUCUGAGCCGGUUCCGAGCCCAGCGGUUGUUGCUAAACAACCAGCCCUGACGCUUGAGAUGUCAACGAGUGCAAUUCCUGCCCCAAGCCAUUACAGUCCUGCUAACACUCAACCACCGUAUAAGGGAGAAGAAGGCAAGGAGAAAAGCCCUGGAGCCCAGCGCUUUCCCCUCCGCCGUGGGUUGCAGCUCUGACACGUCAUCGUCGCGACCGGACGGCGGAACGACACCUCAGGGAGCACCCCUGGAUGUGAGGGCUGGCACCCACCACCCCGAGGAGUUACCGGCUCCUGUCUGCCCGUGCCCGAGGGACACCUGGAAUCCCGGGAUAUGAGCGUCUGAAGAGCCUGAGCUAUUUUGGGAUUUGUCUGUACUACACUGAAAAUGACACCUGUUACGCACAGACACAAAUGAGAAGAAUUACAAGCUCCUGGUUUCUCAGAUAUGAUUCUGCAGAAAAUGGAACGGGAUCCUGCGAGCCAGGGACCUGGGAGAGCAGCACAGGCUCCGCUGUGGGGUGAAGGGGAUGACCCUGGUGAACCGAACAGCCAGACACCAGUACAAAAAAUAUAAAAAGUCUGUUGGAGCUGAUGCAAGGGGAAAUCAAGCCUCCAUGUGACCAGAAGAAGUAGUGCAUGAUCAACUAAAUGCCACAAUACAUGGUUUCUUAUGCAAUCAAGCCCAUGGGAGUUCAAGCCUUGCACAUACACUUUGUGGCCAAAGCUGCGAGGAUUAACUCCUUCGGUUAACGACGGCGAGAGCACCCGGCUCCUGAAAUGAGUCAUCCUCGCUGAAGUAGGCCAGUGUUUGCUGCCAUGGGAAGCUGCCUGUGCUGGUUUCAGUUACCCCUGAGUUAUCUCAGAAGCUCCAACGUGCAGGGUCAGGGCGGAUUUUCCACAUUCCCCGUUUUCCUCUCUGCUUUGCACCGCUCCAGCUCUGCAGGCAGACAGGGACCACCUCGCUGGACCCCCGAGCCCCACGGAGCUCUGAAUGAGCAAGAUAAAGCACUUGGAGCCUCAGGAAUGGGACAGUUGACUGGUGCUUUUAGCUCACAGCAGUUUUGUCAGUCGUGUGGUAUAUUUAAGAAGGUAAAAUGAAGCUUUGGUUUAUUUCAAAUUCUCUCUUUUUGGUUGCUUUCAGGGGAAGGGUGGCAUGCGUGUUAUGGUUUGCUUUCAUUUAAAAAUCACCAACCCUGGAAUGUUUCUACCUUUGCCUGACUGUUAAGUACUUUCUGGUGGCACUCAGGCUCCCAAGAAGACUCAAAGCCACACUGCCCCGUGCACAACUAAAUGUGUAACUAAGAAGAGUUGGCACAAUGGAAAACUUCAGCACUUGGAACUGAGUAAUGAGGCCCAAAAAAAUUAAAGUCAUGUUCUGACACUGUUGGUGAGAAUUUGGCAUUUUCUGUAAAGAAAUGGGGGCCAUGAUUCCAUAGUAGAAAUUUAGUCUGCUUUUCUGAGUGGAGCCCAUGUACAUAUUUUAUACUGGUUUUGGGGUUCUUUUUGCCUCCCCCUUUUUUUUUUCCCUCCAAAGUCUAAAAGCAGGAAACAGAGCUUUGGUUUUGUAAGAACUGCCUAUGAGGGUACAAAGUCCUGGGCUAGAAAGCAAACUUGGUAAAUGGGAAUAUUCCACAGCCAUGGUUGGAAGCAGAGGAGAUCAGUAUCUCCAUGUGAAUGGCAGUGUAAGAAUCCAUUCCAAAACGAGGGCUCACAGCUGAUCACAGCUGGGCCAUGGGUUAAAAAAAUUAAAAACUUUUUAUAGUGUAGACACUGGAACAAGAUUUCACAACUUAUAAGUGGAGCAGUUCAGGCUGGAUGUUGGGGUGGGGAGAUCUUAUCUUGAGGAGAGUGGGAAGGAUGGAACCUCCCAGACAUCAAAAAUCUGCUGUCAUUGACAGUUUUCCUCAGCACCACGAAAGGAUCAGGGAGCAAUUCCUCAGUGAGCACAGGAAAUGUGGGCUUGCACUGCCUCUGGGCCAAACUGUACCUAAAGGUUCACCCUCAGUUCUCCGGCGUGUCCCGUGCGAUUCUCCGCCGUCACGCUGCAAUGACCUUAAUAGCAAUAACAUAUGGAGGCUGACAUUCCAGACAUCUCCCCCUCGUGCACAUCACUGCUGCUCUUGUGGGUGAUAAAAUAACCUCAGCCAUCCACUGAGGAAGGCCCUUGGUCUUUUUUAACGAUGAAGGAAACCCUCAUGGUCCUGCCCGCACUUCCAGCUUCCUGCUGGCGAAGCCUUGGCUCGGCUUUCGGUUUAAAUGCCAUCGGCCACACCUUCCUCCACUGCAGGAAACACAUUGUUAAAAUCAGGGCAUGUUCCUGUUUAACUAAAAGGCUGAGAUAAAUAAUCCAAAGGCCCCGAUUAUGCCAAACAAAUUCCUGCCCGAGACGUAGCAAGUCCGGGCAGCUGUAAAUCUGUAACCCCCCGACCUCGGCAUCCACGGAAGGGAUGUCUUGGCACAUCCCGGGGGGAGUGGCUGGGGAUAAAGGGAAGGAGCAAAGAAUCGGGCAAAGGUGGGCAGGGGAAUGGAAAAGUUCCUUCCCUUUACCAACCCCGAGUCCUAAAAGUUGCUUUAAAAUGCAAAGUAGUCCGUUUCUCAAGUGUUGAUGUGGGGGAGCUCUUUUUCAAGACCUUUGAUUUGUCAGCCUUACAAACAACUCACCACCUCAGUGAAACGACCACCGUUUCCAACAAAAAUCUUUCUCGGCACAGAAUUCCCAGCCAGCUCCAUUCAGGGAAUACCAUCAGAAACAGGAACAUGUAGCCCAGCUGCCAGGACUGUUUCCCCUAAACCUCACCAAUUGGAGGGUGGUUAAUUUUUAAAUUUUUCUUUUGACUGUUGUCAUAAAAAAUCAUCCUUUAAAAAAACCCUUAACUCUUUACUGUAGCAAAACAAUUGUCUGCAUUGACCUCGAAUAAAGGAAUUUUAGUUGUUGCUUAGGGAAACUGGCAAGUUUUUCAUGUUUUCUCAUUAAAAUUAAUGAAAUUUUGCAUAUGGGAAAGCUGAGUAAAAUAAAGGUUAAAUAAUUUGACCCACGUUGUAUGUGGAAUCAGGGUCAAAGCUGAUAGGGAGGUUUAGGCGUUCCUUGCUCCCAGAUUUUAUUCAAGUUGUGCCUCUUAAUUAUAGUCCUUAUUGUCCAGAAGGCCCUGAGUCAAUUAGUGAGACAUAACCAUCAUGUGAGACAGAAGCUGCUGGAACAGCCUGGCUUUGGGAGGAGAUGGAUAAGGAAUUAUUUCGAGGAGACACUUUCUUUCAGUUUUCAAAGCAAAGCAGAAAUAAAACUUUGAAGCCUUCCUUCAGUUUUCACGUGUGCAUAGAGAACAACAGACAAUUCAUGGUCUUUUAGUACCACCCUGACAGCCACUGGGACGUGCAGAUUUUCAGGAAACUGGAGACUCAGAAUUCCAAAAUAGGAAUAUUUGCUAACACAGCAACCAGAGUCCAUGAAGGGAUAUUUUACAGUGUUUUUCCCCACUGUGAUUACAGGAGAAAAGUUACAGAGUCACAACAAACAUUUAGUUUUUUUCCAAAAGGUUUAUUGUUUUCCAGACAAAUUCAAUUAGUGAAUUCCAGAAGUGUGGCCAGUGAGUCCUUUCUCUGCCAGCCCAGUGCAUACACAUAAAAUCACUGAAUCCCAGAAUGGUUUGAGGUGGAAGGGACCUUAAAGAUCAUCUCAUUCCACCCCCUGCCAUGGGCAGGGACACCUUCCACUAGCCCAGGUUGCUCC